GCCACCGUGGUGGAGUGGUCUAACACGCUAGACUCAAGUUCUAGUCUCUUCGGAGGCGCAAGUUCGAACCUUGCCGGUGGUA
RNAcentral lists this transfer RNA (82 nucleotides) under Bigelowiella natans CCMP2755. RNAcentral describes it as "tRNA-Leu for anticodon CAA". It matches the Rfam family "tRNA". Rfam says of the family: Transfer RNA (tRNA) molecules are approximately 80 nucleotides in length. Lineage: Eukaryota; Cercozoa; Chlorarachniophyceae. The record is from RNAcentral.